GUGCUCGCUUGGGCAGCACAUUACUAAAAUUGGAAUAGUAGAGAGAUUAGCAGGGCCCCUUUUGGUAGGAUGACACCCAAAUUUGUGAAGCAUUCCAUUAAAGA
Small nuclear RNA from Ursus americanus (American black bear), 104 nucleotides. Lineage: Eukaryota; Metazoa; Chordata; Mammalia; Carnivora; Ursidae. The record is from Ensembl.